This 301-nucleotide ribosomal RNA is filed under the name uncultured bacterium. RNAcentral describes it as "partial 16S ribosomal RNA". It matches the Rfam family "Bacterial small subunit ribosomal RNA", at positions 509 to 807 of the family's 1533-position model. The record is from RNAcentral.
CAGUAGCCGCGGUAAUACGUAGGUGGCAAGCGUUGUCCGGAAUUAUUUGGCGUAAAGGGCUCGCAGGCGGUUUCUUAAGUCUGAUGUGAAAGCCCCCGGCUCAACCGGGGAGGGUCAUUGGAAACUGGGAGACUUGAGUGCAGAAGAGGAGAGCGGAAUUCCACGUGUAGCGGUGAAAUGCGUAGAGAUGUGGAGGAACACCAGUGGCGAAGGCGACUCUCUGGUCUGUAACUGACGCUGAGGAGCGAAAGCGUGGGGAGCGAACAGGAUUAGAUACCCCAGUAGUCCCUGUCUCUUAUAC